GGUCUGAGAAGAUGAUCCGCCACACUGGGACUGAGACACGGCCCAGACUCCUACGGGAGGCAGCAGUGGGGAAUACUGGACAAUGGCGGGAACCCUGAUCCAGCCAUGGCGAGUGUGUGAAGAAGGCCUUAUGGUUGUAAAGCACUUUAAGCGAGGAGGAGGCUUCUUCUAAGUCAAUACCUAGGAUGAGUGGACGUUACUCGCAAGAAUAAGCACCGGCUAACUUCUGUGCCAGCAGCCGCGGUAAUACAGAGGGUGCGAGCGUUAAUCGGAUUUACUGGGCGUAAAGCGUGCGUAGGCGGCUUUUUAAGUCGGAUGUGAAAUCCCCGAGCUUAACUUGGGAAUUGCAUUCGAUACUGGGAAGCUAGAGUAUGGGAGAGGAUGGUAGAAUUCCAGGUGUAGCGGUGAAAUGCGUAGAGAUCUGGAGGAAUACCGAUGGCGAAGGCAGCCAUCUGGCCUAAUACUGACGCUGAGGUACGAAAGCAUGGGGAGCAAACAGGAUUAGAUACCCUGGUAGUCCAUGCCGUAAACGAUGUCUACUAGCCGUUGGGGCCUUUGAGGCUUUAGUGGCGCAGCUAACGCGAUAAGUAGACCGCCUGGGGAGUACGGUCGCAAGACUAAAACUCAAAUGAAUUGACGGGGGCCCGCACAAGCGGUGGAGCAUGUGGUUUAAUUCGAUGCAACGCGAAGAACCUUACCUGGUCUUGACAUAGUAAGAACUUUCCAGAGAUGGAUUGGUGCCUUCGGGAACUUACAUACAGGUGCUGCAUGACUGUCGUCAGCUCGUGUCGUGGAGAUGUUGGGUUAAGUCCCGCAACGAGCGCAACCCUUUUCCUUAUUUGCCAGCA
RNAcentral lists this ribosomal RNA (848 nucleotides) under Acinetobacter sp. Gururen1. Its description in RNAcentral is "bacterial SSU rRNA". It matches the Rfam family "Bacterial small subunit ribosomal RNA", at positions 289 to 1123 of the family's 1533-position model. The record is from RNAcentral. Lineage: Bacteria; Pseudomonadati; Pseudomonadota; Gammaproteobacteria; Moraxellales; Moraxellaceae.